Molecule: ribosomal RNA, 490 nt
Filed under: uncultured bacterium
Lineage: Bacteria
Description: partial 16S ribosomal RNA
Rfam family: Bacterial small subunit ribosomal RNA
Source: RNAcentral
AUUGAACGCUGGCGGCAGGCCUAACACAUGCAAGUCGAACGGUAACAGGAAGCAGCUUGCUGCUUUGCUGACGAGUGGCGGACGGGUGAGUAAUGUCUGUGAAACUGCUUGAUGGCGGGGGAUAACUACUGGAAACGGUAGCUAAUACCGCAUAACUUCUCAAGCCCAAAGAGGGGGAGUUUCGGGCCUCUUUCCAUCGGAUGUGCCCAGAUGGGAUUAGCUAGUAGGUGGGGUAACGGCUCACCUAGGCGACGAUCCCUAGCUGGUCUGAGAGGAUGACCAGCCACACUGGAACUGAGACACGGUCCAGACUCCUACGGGAGGCAGCAGUGGGGAAUAUUGCACAAUGGGCGAAAGCCUGAUGCAGCCAUGCCGCGUGUAUGAAGAAGGCCUUCGGGUUGUAAAGUACUUUCAGCGGGGAGGAAGGGAGUAAAGUUAAUACCUUUGCUCAUUGACGUUACCCGCAGAAGAAGCACCGGCUAACUACGUG